Molecule: transfer RNA, 135 nt
Filed under: Aspergillus brasiliensis
Lineage: Eukaryota; Fungi; Ascomycota; Eurotiomycetes; Eurotiales; Aspergillaceae
Description: tRNA-Asn
Source: RNAcentral
GUCUCGGUGGCGCAAUUGGUAAGCUUACCCCCUCCUACAACUUAAUUUCACACCCAUCAGUUACUAAUUCAUCAUAAAGGUUAGCGCGUACGACUGUUAAUCGUGAGGUUGAGAGUUCGAUCCUCUCCCGGGACG